GACGAACGCUGGCGGCGUGCCUAAUACAUGCAAGUCGAGCGAACAGAUGAGGAGCUUGCUCCUCCGACGUUAUCGGCGGACGGGUGAGUAACAUGUGGAUGACAUACCUAUAAGACUGGGAUAACAUUGGGAAAUCGGCGCUAAUGCCGGAUAAUAUAUUGAACCGCAUGGUUCACUAGUUAGAUACGGUUUUGCUUUCACUUAUAGAUUGCUCCGCGCCGCAUUAGCUAGUUGGUAAGGUAACGGCUUACCAAGGCAACGAUGCGUAGCCGACCUGAGCGGGUGAUCGGACACACUGGAACUGAGACACGGUCCAGACUCCUACGGGAGGCAGCAGUAGGGAAUCUUCCGCAAGGGGCGAAAGCCUGACGGAGCAACGCCGCGUGAGUGAUGAAGGUCUUCGGAUCGUAAAACUCUGUUAUUAGGGAAGAACAAAUGUGCAAGUAACUAUGCACGUCUUGACGGUACCUAAUCAGAAAGCCACGGCUAACUACGUG
RNAcentral lists this ribosomal RNA (497 nucleotides) under uncultured bacterium. Its description in RNAcentral is "partial 16S ribosomal RNA". It matches the Rfam family "Bacterial small subunit ribosomal RNA", at positions 28 to 507 of the family's 1533-position model. The record is from RNAcentral.